RNAcentral lists this ribosomal RNA (255 nucleotides) under uncultured bacterium. RNAcentral's name for it is "partial 16S ribosomal RNA". It matches the Rfam family "Bacterial small subunit ribosomal RNA", at positions 524 to 777 of the family's 1533-position model. The record is from RNAcentral.
UACAGAGGUCUCAAGCGUUGUUCGGAUUCAUUGGGCGUAAAGGGCGCGUAGGCGGCCUGCUAAGUCGAACGUGAAAUCCCUGGGCUCAACCCAGGAACUGCGUCCGAUACUGGUUGGCUUGAAUCCGGGGAGAGGGAUGUGGAAUUCCAGGUGUAGCGGUGAAAUGCGUAGAUAUCUGGAGGAACACCGGUGGCGAAGGCGACAUCCUGGACCGGUAUUGACGCUGAGGCGCGAAAGCCAGGGGAGCAAACGGGG